GAAACAAGGUUUGGCUAGCUGAGCGCUCAUGGGUUAGGAUGCAGCCGCUAGCUCCUCAGGCUACGGGCAAGUAAGAUUGAUGAAGCAGGAACGUUCUUCUGAGAAGCAAAGCAUGCUGGGGGAGUUCUGCAGGCCCAAGGCAACAAGAUCAAGUAACCCUGGAUUAAGACAUCUGAAGCUGUUUCUUGAAGCAAUGGAGAACUUGAUUGACAGUGACAUUUUACAGAAGCUCUGGUUAUCAAGAUGUCCAAAGGAAGGCCAACAAUGCACAGAGAGGACAAGGAGUUAGAAGCUGGCUUUACAGGGGACAGAAGCAAGAAGUGGAUCCAUCGAAUCCUGACUCUGUCUCCAUAUCAAUUCUCUGCUCUGAUGGUCCCUGCAGUGGCCAGUGUGAAGUUUGACAUUUGGUUGGUGACUCUGCCUCCAUUCCCAGGCUCCAUCUUCCACCAGUCCGUCUCACAUGACACCCAUGUACCACAUGGCAGUUGGCCUUUUACAGCGCUUGAUGGUCAUCACACAACAGGCAUCUAACUCGAACGGUGCCCAUUUGUGCGGCUGCUGUAGAGACUGAGCAAAGAAGGGACAGGGACGGACAGACGUCUUUAGGAGAGCAUUU
RNAcentral lists this long non-coding RNA (616 nucleotides) under Mus pahari (shrew mouse). Its description in RNAcentral is "lncRNA (MGP_PahariEiJ_G0005102.1)". Lineage: Eukaryota; Metazoa; Chordata; Mammalia; Rodentia; Muridae. The record is from RNAcentral.